GUCGGUCUUGUCUGAUACUUUUCAAGGGAGAUUACUCUAUUGGUUUUAACUGAUUUUAUCUUGUGUUUACAUUGGUCAGUAUUCUAAGAAUUCAAAUGAUUGGUUCAUGGAUCAUUGGUUUUAAGCUAUUUUUAUGUCAUGUGAUUUCUUGGUGGGAAAAGUCAUUGUGUCUUUGUUAUGUUGUAAAGGAAAGGUUAGAAAAAUUAGUGUUUGUGGUCAAGUUCUUUAUUUCAUAAGUUGUUAACAGUCACUGGUGUGAAAGUAAGAGAAGGUAUUAGGUUAUAGAUUGAUGUACUACACUCAUCCCUCAGAUGAGUGUUGUUGGUUUGUACCUUAACUUGAUGUAACCACCAUACAGUAAUUGAAGAAUGGAUUGGAAUAUAUAAAUAAUAUAACUGUAAAGCUGUUUGUUGAUUUGAUUUUAAUAAUCCCGAACUCAUUUGACCCUUAGGGGCUCGGAUAGUUAUAUUUAUAUUGCGCCGAACCACCCCUAU
Ruditapes philippinarum (Manila clam) is the source of this 494-nucleotide long non-coding RNA. RefSeq lists it as uncharacterized. The record is from RefSeq and is a predicted model, not a curated record. Lineage: Eukaryota; Metazoa; Mollusca; Bivalvia; Venerida; Veneridae. The transcript has 3 exons.